GCACCGCCUCCCCGCACCGACCCCCCCCCGGGGGCAGCCCCCCCAGCCGGCCCCGGGACCCCCGGGGGGCUCCGCAGCCCCCGACGUGGGGCAGGAGAGGAGCGAAGCGCGGGACGGCGACGCCACCGAGGCCCCGUCCGUCCCCCGGGACCUCCUCGAGGCCAUCAGCGGGGUGAAGGCGGCGCAGUCCCGCAUGGCCGAGGACAUCCGCGGGAUCAAGGAGCUGCUGGGCCUGGCGGGCGAGCAGCGGGGACCCCGCGGCGGGGGGAGCCCGGAGAGCGACGGGGAGGCUGCCGGGAGCCAGUCUGCAGCCUCCGAGUCCUCCGGGUCCCCCGAGUCGGGCGAGGAGGGCACCGAGCGUGGGGGGACCCCGCGGGGGACGCAGCCUGCGCCCAGGACCGGCAAGGGGACACCGGGGACACAGCCCCGCUCCCCGGGGGCGCGAGCAGGGACGCGGAGAGCACCAGCGACCCCCGAGAGGCGGGCAGGCGCUGCCCCCGAUCACACGGGGACGGCUGGUGCCGGUGCCACCGCCCCGGGGAUGCAGCCGGGGGUCCCUGGCACUCAGGCUGCCGUGCUGGGGACACAGCCAGGGUCCCCCGGCACCCAGACCUCCACCCUGGGAGCACAGCCUGGGUCCCCUGGCACCCAAAUCACCACCCCGGGGGCACAGCCUGGGUCCCCUGGCACCCA
Molecule: long non-coding RNA, 693 nt
Filed under: Anser cygnoides (Swan goose)
Lineage: Eukaryota; Metazoa; Chordata; Aves; Anseriformes; Anatidae
Description: lncRNA (ENSACDG00005005278.1)
Source: RNAcentral